GACGAACGCUGGCGGCGUGCUUAACACAUGCAAGUCGAACGGAAAGGCCCUGCUUUUGUGGGGUGCUCGAGUGGCGAACGGGUGAGUAACACGUGAGUAACCUGCCCUUGACUUUGGGAUAACUUCAGGAAACUGGGGCUAAUACCGGAUAGGAGCUCCUGCUGCAUGGUGGGGGUUGGAAAGUUUCGGCGGUUGGGGAUGGACUCGCGGCUUAUCAGCUUGUUGGUGGGGUCGUGGCUUACCAAGGCUUUGACGGGUAGCCGGCCUGAGAGGGUGACCGGCCACAUUGGGACUGAGAUACGGCCCAGACUCCUUCGGGAGGCAGCAGUGGGGAAUAUUGCACAAUGGGCGGAAGCCUGAUGCAGCAACGCCGCGUGCGGGAUGACGGCCUUCGGGUUGUAAACCGCUUUCGCCUGUGACGAAGCGUGAGUGACGGUAAUGGGUAAAGAAGCACCGGCUAACUACGUG
RNAcentral lists this ribosomal RNA (468 nucleotides) under uncultured bacterium. RNAcentral describes it as "partial 16S ribosomal RNA". It matches the Rfam family "Bacterial small subunit ribosomal RNA", at positions 28 to 507 of the family's 1533-position model. The record is from RNAcentral.